RNAcentral lists this unclassified non-coding RNA (5157 nucleotides) under Homo sapiens (human). Its description in RNAcentral is "potassium sodium-activated channel subfamily T member 2 (ENSG00000291999.1)". The record is from RNAcentral. Lineage: Eukaryota; Metazoa; Chordata; Mammalia; Primates; Hominidae.
AAUGAUCUACACAGAGCCAUUCAGCGUACACAGUCUGCAAUGUUUAAUCAAGUUUUGAUUUUAAUAUCUACAUUACUAUGCCUUAUCUUCACCUGCAUUUGUGGGAUCCAACAUCUGGAACGAAUAGGAAAGAAGCUGAAUCUCUUUGACUCCCUUUAUUUCUGCAUUGUGACGUUUUCUACUGUGGGCUUCGGGGAUGUCACUCCUGAAACAUGGUCCUCCAAGCUUUUUGUAGUUGCUAUGAUUUGUGUUGCUCUUGUGGUUCUACCCAUACAGUUUGAACAGCUGGCUUAUUUGUGGAUGGAGAGACAAAAGUCAGGAGGAAACUAUAGUCGACAUAGAGCUCAAACUGAAAAGCAUGUCGUCCUGUGUGUCAGCUCACUGAAGAUUGAUUUACUUAUGGAUUUUUUAAAUGAAUUCUAUGCUCAUCCUAGGCUCCAGGAUUAUUAUGUGGUGAUUUUGUGUCCUACUGAAAUGGAUGUACAGGUUCGAAGGGUACUGCAGAUUCCAAUGUGGUCCCAACGAGUUAUCUACCUUCAAGGUUCAGCCCUUAAAGAUCAAGACCUAUUGAGAGCAAAGAUGGAUGACGCUGAGGCCUGUUUUAUUCUCAGUAGCCGUUGUGAAGUGGAUAGGACAUCAUCUGAUCACCAAACAAUUUUGAGAGCAUGGGCUGUGAAAGAUUUUGCUCCAAAUUGUCCUUUGUAUGUCCAGAUAUUAAAGCCUGAAAAUAAAUUUCACAUCAAAUUUGCUGAUCAUGUUGUUUGUGAAGAAGAGUUUAAAUACGCCAUGUUAGCUUUAAACUGUAUAUGCCCAGCAACAUCUACACUUAUUACACUACUGGUUCAUACCUCUAGAGGGCAAGAAGGCCAGCAAUCGCCAGAACAAUGGCAGAAGAUGUACGGUAGAUGCUCCGGGAAUGAAGUCUACCACAUUGUUUUGGAAGAAAGUACAUUUUUUGCUGAAUAUGAAGGAAAGAGUUUUACAUAUGCCUCUUUCCAUGCACACAAAAAGUUUGGCGUCUGCUUGAUUGGUGUUAGGAGGGAGGAUAAUAAAAACAUUUUGCUGAAUCCAGGUCCUCGAUACAUUAUGAAUUCUACAGACAUAUGCUUUUAUAUUAAUAUUACCAAAGAAGAGAAUUCAGCAUUUAAAAACCAAGACCAGCAGAGAAAAAGCAAUGUGUCCAGGUCGUUUUAUCAUGGACCUUCCAGAUUACCUGUACAUAGCAUAAUUGCCAGCAUGGGUACUGUGGCUAUAGACUUGCAAGAUACAAGCUGUAGAUCAGCAAGUGGCCCUACCCUGUCUCUUCCUACAGAGGGAAGCAAAGAAAUAAGAAGACCUAGCAUUGCUCCUGUUUUAGAGGUUGCAGAUACAUCAUCGAUUCAAACAUGUGAUCUUCUAAGUGACCAAUCAGAAGAUGAAACUACACCAGAUGAAGAAAUGUCUUCAAACUUAGAGUAUGCUAAAGGUUACCCACCUUAUUCUCCAUAUAUAGGAAGUUCACCCACUUUUUGUCAUCUCCUUCAUGAAAAAGUACCAUUUUGCUGCUUAAGAUUAGACAAGUUUUAGCCAUAAAAUCUCUGCCACAGACCAUUGUUCCUGAUUCAAGCGAAAUAUUUUUUCUGGACUACUCCUGGGGAUCUUGGACUCAAGGCUUUGCCUAGAUGACUUACUCAGGUGUGGAGUGACUUUUGCUGCUAAUAUGGUGGUUGUGGAUAAAGAGAGCACCAUGAGUGCCGAGGAAGACUACAUGGCAGAUGCCAAAACCAUUGUGAACGUGCAGACACUCUUCAGGUUGUUUUCCAGUCUCAGUAUUAUCACAGAGCUAACUCACCCCGCCAACAUGAGAUUCAUGCAAUUCAGAGCCAAAGACUGUUACUCUCUUGCUCUUUCAAAACUGGAAAAGAAAGAACGGGAGAGAGGCUCUAACUUGGCCUUUAUGUUUCGACUGCCUUUUGCUGCUGGGAGGGUGUUUAGCAUCAGUAUGUUGGACACUCUGCUGUAUCAGUCAUUUGUGAAGGAUUAUAUGAUUUCUAUCACGAGACUUCUGUUGGGACUGGACACUACACCAGGAUCUGGGUUUCUUUGUUCUAUGAAAAUCACUGCAGAUGACUUAUGGAUCAGAACUUAUGCCAGACUUUAUCAGAAGUUGUGUUCUUCUACUGGAGAUGUUCCCAUUGGAAUCUACAGGACUGAGUCUCAGAAACUUACUACAUCUGAGUCUCAAAUAUCUAUCAGUGUAGAAGAGUGGGAAGACACCAAAGACUCCAAAGAACAAGGGCACCACCGCAGCAACCACCGCAACUCAACAUCCAGUGAUCAGUCGGACCAUCCCUUGCUGCGGAGAAAAAGCAUGCAGUGGGCCCGAAGACUGAGCAGAAAAGGCCCAAAACACUCUGGUAAAACAGCUGAAAAAAUAACCCAGCAGCGACUGAACCUCUACAGGAGGUCAGAAAGACAAGAGCUUGCUGAACUUGUGAAAAAUAGAAUGAAACACUUGGGUCUUUCUACAGUGGGAUAUGAUGAAAUGAAUGAUCAUCAAAGUACCCUCUCCUACAUCCUGAUUAACCCAUCUCCAGAUACCAGAAUAGAGCUGAAUGAUGUUGUAUACUUAAUUCGACCAGAUCCACUGGCCUACCUUCCAAACAGUGAGCCCAGUCGAAGAAACAGCAUCUGCAAUGUCACUGGUCAAGAUUCUCGGGAGGAAACUCAACUUUGAUAAAAAUAAAAUGAGAAACUUUUUUCCUACAAAGACCUUGCUUGAAACCACAAAAGUUUUGCUGGCACGAAAGAAACUAGAUGGAAAUAUAUGUAAUUCUCUCAUAUUUAAAAACGUAAUCUCUUCUCUUAGAAGUAUAGAUCAUUUUGAAACUUAAUGUACUACUUACUGGUACUCUCCCUAUUAAUAUUUGAAGGACCUCAAUGGAAUAAAUUUGAAAAGCUAAAUUAAAAUACAAAAAUUUAAAUCUGACAUUUAAUUGUUUUAUAAUAAUCCAAACUCUAUGAAAGCAAUUUUAAAAAUUAUUAAGGUUUUAUGAAGUUGACAAAAUCUAACUAUAUUUGGUGCAUCACAAUGGACACAGAAUGCUGCUGCUCCUCUUAAAAAUUAAAUGUGUCAUAUUAUAUUCUUUAAACUUACUGUUUUACAAAAUUGAGCUCAUCGUAAAUGUCUAGUCUUCUCACAUAGAGAUUAACCAACAAACUUGUGUGGCUGACUUUUGUGUAAGAAUCAUAGUUUGCUUUAGAAUACAAAUCUUUAAGUCAUUUUAACUUUUUUUUCUGCCUUACGAUAUAAAAAUAUUUAUCUUAGAAUUUGAGAUGUUCAUAGCAUGUUUUAUUACAUUGAAGAAACUAAAACAUAAAUGAAAAGAAACACUAGGUUCCUGCACUUUUUGGUAACUUUAUGUCUAGCAAAUAUUUUAUGCCAAGAAAAGCAUACUAUAAAGCAAAUAUCUAUUAUUCUCCUAAACGAAUGCCUAGCAUAGAGAAAAUACUUAAUACACAUUUGUUGACUUAAAUUUAAUUCAAGGAUUGAAAAAUUAACUGGAUAUCUUGAAAUAUACAGUAAUGAUUGUCCUUAGACUCUUGAACUUUACCAUCUUUCCUAUUCAUAUAUCUAUAUAGUAAAUUUCACUAGAAAAAUUCUUUUAAAAUUGACAGAAGAUAAUUUAUACCUUUUAUGGACUCUGAAGACACUUCAAAACAUUAAAAGUCCUUAUGUCUUUGGUAAUGAAACAAUAACACUCAAUGAAGGAUGUAUUAAAAUUUUUGACUUAAUUUUGAAAUCGUAUAUAUGAGCUAUACUUUAACAUUAUGAGAGAAAAGCAUAAAACAAAAAUAGGUAGUUCUUGGCUUUUAACAUUAAUGCAAAUCAUGCAGAAUUUGAGUUAUAAAUUUAAAUAUAAAUUGACCAUUGAUGAUAUCCAGUUUUUCAUUUUUUACCUGUAUUGCAUUUUCCCCCUAGAGAAAUAGAUCAAAAGAGCACAAGAGUAUGCGUACAUAGUUUACCAGGUAGUAGAAGUGUGUUAAAAUGUUCCUGUAAAAGAAACAUUGGUAAAUUUAAAUACAUACUGUUCUAAUUUUGUAUUUUUUAAUUUUUGAAUUUGACAUUGAGUUUAAUUCAGCAACAACAAAAAAUACAUAUAAAACUAGAAAGGGACUUUUUUUCCUUUCUUUUCAUAAUGAAGCAGAUCAACUUAAAGGAUAAUAAAAUUUUUAAAGAAAAGAUAUUCUAAUGUACUCUCAAUAAUUCUACAGAAAUAAAACUGUAAAGUGCAAUGUGAAAUCAAAGAUUAUAGUCAUUGUAUAAUUUGGCUUGGAGGCUAUGAAAUGUCUUUUUUUCUUUUUGGUAUUUUACAUUAUUCACAUUUUAGAAUAACAAGAACACCAAGAAUUACCCCUAAAACAGAGACCCUGUAUUUAAUCUACUUUGAUCAGAGAAGUAGAAUUUAUAACAGGUUAGCUAAAAUUGGGAGCAUGCCUUAAAACUUAAAGAUUGUAUGCAUAUAUGUGUAUAUGUUAUAAACGUGAAAUAUAUUUGACACACACAUUCACAUAUAAAUUGUUAAAAACUGAAGGCAGAAUGGAACUAAUAUAUGUAACAGAGAAAAACAAUAAAUUUUAUGAACUUGUUUUAUAUUUGCAUAUCAAGAGUCAAGUAUGAUGUUUCUUUAAGUUGACUUUUUUUACUUCAUUAUUUUUAGGAAUAAAUGUAAGAUUUUACAAAUCUUUUAUUUCCCCACAAGAUCUGAAGUUUGGUAUUUUUGCAUUAUGACAGUUGUUGAGACUAGGAUUUUAAGCUAGGAUAUGAUUAUAUUUCCUAUAUAACUAAAAAUUUUGUUUCAUAAAUUUUAAAAUAAUUAUUUUUGACUAUGAACAUUAGUCCAAAUUUAAUAUUUGACACAGUUCAUACCAGCUUGCUACAAUAAUGAUAAUUUAUUAGUCUUUCUGUUAUUUAAAGAAUAAAAACAUGCUUAUAAAAGACUUUUAAUGAAAUGUUGCCUUUUUAAAAUAAUUAUACUUGCACAUGAAAAUAAAAUAUAAAGUCAAUAAUAGUCCUUGUAGCCCAAUGGGAAUUGAUUCUGUUUAUUGUCUGUACCAUUUUGCUACCAGUUACAUUGAACUGCUUUAAAAUAAAUAAUAAAAUUAUUUCUAAUGAUG